ACGGGGUGGGGAGGGAGCGCUGAGGGGCCGGCACAGGGCGGGGGAGGAGGAGGAGGAGGAGGAGGAGGAGAAGUUCAGGAGAAGGAAGAGAAAUUCAGGAGAAGGAGAAGCUCAGGAGGAGGAGGAGAAGUUCAGGAGGAGAAGGAGAAGUUCAGGAGGAGAAGUUCAGGAGGAGAAGUUCAGGAGGAGGAGGAGAAGCUCAGGAGGAGAAGGAGAAGCUCAGGAGGAGAAGGAGAAGCUCAGGAGGAGGAGGAGGAGUUCAGGAGGAGAAGGAGAAGUUCAGGAGGAGAAGGAGAAGUUGCCGGGGCCAUGGGGUGCCCAGAGGGGCCCGAGGAGAGCCGGAGGGAACCCGGAGCCCCGCAAUCGCAGCCCAGGCUGGGGGGCAGCACCAGGAGCCCGGCAGGGCCCGAACGGCUCCUCCGGGAGAGCCGCAGCUCCAUCCCCAUCGCGCCCUCCCACCCAGCCCGGCCCAGCUCCGGGGGACAUUCCCGGGGGGACACGGGACCGGCUCCAUCCCCGGGCGGUCCCUGCGGGCCAGGACCUGGGGGGCAGCGCUGGUCCUUCCCCCGGCCGCGGCUCCGGGGGAUGCUCCGAACGGACAGGGGCACUUUGGAGGGGUCGGAAGCCCCAAAUGCGCCCUGGGUGUGGGGGUGCAGGGCAGAGACCCCCAAUAAUGCGGGAAAGGAGGAGGGGGUGCUGCUGCCGGGGGGUUCCGCGCCCAUCGCCGCCUCACCUGCGGGCUCUGCCGCUCCCAGCCCCUCCUGCUUUGUGAUCAAACAAAUAAAUCUGCCCUUGCUUUCCUAAAAAUAGCCGUUGCCCUUUCUCCCCUGCCUGCCUCCCGCCAGCUCAGGCUGCCUUAGAGACAGAAGGAGCCCUGCAGUCACUAAGGCCGGCAAACAGCCCCCGGUGCGGCGCUUGUUCUAGCGGGAACAUGUGGGGGCAGAAGCCACCUGCUUGCCAGGAGCCCACGUCCCCGCGUCCCUGCUGCUGCUCGGGGCUCCUCCUGCCCGCCUCUGGCCGCGGGGGAUGGUUUGGGAUUCAACUGGGAAUAUUCCUUGUGCGGCUGCCAGCGCCUUCCCUGCAGGAUGCAGAGCGGGACGUGGAGACCCUGAGGGUGCCGCGGGUGCUGCCUUCAGCUCCUGCUCCUCUGAACCCCCAUCCCUGCCCCUCUGCACCCCCAUCCCUGCCCCUCUGCAUCCCCAUCCCUGCCCUUCUUCAUCCCCAUCCCUGUCCCUCUGCACCCCCAUCCCUGCCCCUCUGCAUCCCCAUCCCUGCCCCCCUGCACCCCCAUCCCUGCCCCUCUGCACCCCCAUCCCUGCCCCUCUGCACCCCCAUCCCUGCCCCUCUGCACCCCCAUCCCUGCCCCUCUGCACCCCCAUCUCUGCCCCUCUGC
Molecule: long non-coding RNA, 1393 nt
Filed under: Taeniopygia guttata (zebra finch)
Lineage: Eukaryota; Metazoa; Chordata; Aves; Passeriformes; Estrildidae
Description: lncRNA (ENSTGUG00000020502.1)
Source: RNAcentral